UACAGAGGGGGCAAGCGUUGUUCGGAAUUACUGGGCGUAAAGGGCGCGUAGGCGGCCUGCUAAGUCGAACGUGAAAUCCCCGAGCUCAACUCGGGAACUGCGUCCGAUACUGGCAGGCUUGAAUCCGGGAGAGGGAUGCGGAAUUCCAGGUGUAGCGGUGAAAUGCGUAGAUAUCUGGAGGAACACCGGUGGCGAAGGCGGCAUCCUGGACCGGCAUUGACGCUGAGGCGCGAAAGCCAGGGGAGCGAACGGG
This 253-nucleotide ribosomal RNA is filed under the name uncultured bacterium. RNAcentral describes it as "partial 16S ribosomal RNA". It matches the Rfam family "Bacterial small subunit ribosomal RNA", at positions 524 to 776 of the family's 1533-position model. The record is from RNAcentral.